CGCGGCGUGCUACGGUUCCGGCCAGGGGGCCACGCCGGGGCCGGGCGAGCGCCGGCAGCCGAGCUGGACGAGGCGCCGCGGGAGGGCUGCUGGGCGCAGUUGCCUCUCGAUCUUCUGCGUAUGAUUAAUACCAUGGGAGUGAUAUAGAGAUGGUUCUACCAAUCAUGGUUGGAGGUUACACAGACUUCUUUUGUUCUAUGCUCCAUACAAGGAAUUGUGGAUUCAUCUUCCGAGGGUCGUAGACUCCGAUCAAUCCAAAUUGAUAUGUGUUUUCUUGGUCAAUCAUGGUUGGAUUCAUCUUCCGAGGAUCUAGACUCCACUAAGACUGUCCUUUGACAAGCUGGAGGGUGUUGAGGUUGCAUGGAGUCAGUCAAGGAUCAACGACUCUGUCAUGGUUUGCUCAUAGAAUAUGGAGCAGCUAAGCACAGAGAUCCAACUGCUGAGGACCUUCAGGCACAAGAACAUUGUCAAGCUGUUUGCCUCUUGGAUCGAUGAGGACAAGGACAUUGUAAAUAUCAUCAUAGAGUACUUCACAUCAGGCAGCUUGAGACAGUACAUGUUGUUUCUUUCGUUCGUUCCACUUCUGAAUGUUCAUACCAAACAUCUCUCUGUGUUUCUAUUCUCAACCAAAUUGGUGACAUCAUGCAAGCUGUGGCAUCAAGUAGGAGAGUCAUUCAAACCUCCAAAGACAUGCACAACCGUUUCAUGGACUUUCUAUAACUUCUAUGAGAAGAGAGAGCAAGAUUGAUAAAAAGACUUGCCAAAAUCAAAGAGGAGCAGGGACAGAUUGAUGAGGCUGUUGGUUUGAUGUAAGAAGUUGUAAGUUUGCACCAUACUGAAUUUGGACCAGCGUACCGGAUUUGUCAAGGCUACGCUUUGAUUGAAUACGAGAAGUUUGAAGAAGUUCAGGUUGCAAUAAAAGAUCUGGAUGGAGCUGACCUUUAUAAACAAAUAAUGAGUGUUGAUUGGGCAUUUAGCAGUGGCCCUGCUAAACGCAAACAUACUCGGAAAUGGUCACCACCAAGAGCUCGUUCAAGGACCCCACCCAGGAGAAGGCACUGAUGUUUUCCCAGCACCUCGUGAACUACUUGCUAUGUGUGAUGUACAAUAAGAAGUCUAAGGAUUCGAAAUAUUACCUUGGUGUAUGUGGAUCACCUGAUUUCGAUGGUGGUUAUUAAAUUGCCUGAUGUUUCCUUAUUUGGGACUCCAAAUAUUAGCUUUGAACUCUGGUUUAAGUUGAUGAGACAUGGAGGUGCACUUAGACGCUUACCAUUAUGUUUGGCAUGUUAGUUGGAGACGAUUGUAAGUCAGUCCACGUCACGUCCG
This is an RNA transcript of Zea mays, 1326 nucleotides long. It is a transcript of the gene named serine-threonine protein kinase pseudogene, with no coding region annotated. The record is from RefSeq and is marked validated. Lineage: Eukaryota; Viridiplantae; Streptophyta; Magnoliopsida; Poales; Poaceae. The transcript is spliced from 8 exons.